AUCACUUCUCGGCCUUUUGGCUAAGAUCAAGUGUAGUUGGGCCUUUCCCAAGUAUUGUAAGUUGGAAUCAUGUGUUGUCUAGUCCAUUUAUAUUGGCUUCUUUCACUUGGUAGUAUACCUGAAGAUUUGUCCAUGUGUUUUCACAGCUUGAUAGCUCACUAUUUCUUAGUGCUUAAAAACGUAU
Lepus europaeus (European hare) is the source of this 184-nucleotide small nuclear RNA. RefSeq annotates it as U2 spliceosomal RNA. The transcript has a single exon. Lineage: Eukaryota; Metazoa; Chordata; Mammalia; Lagomorpha; Leporidae. The record is from RefSeq and is a predicted model, not a curated record.